AGGGUGCAGAACUUCAGAUCUUGUUGUGACCUCGCAGACCUACCCGGAUCCGGGAGGAAGGCCAGUGCAAUACUGGAAGCUGGUGAACAACUGCGGCUGCCCACAGAAGAACGUGAAGCUGGCGUGCCUGGGAUUCAGCUCUUCCAUCGAGGUCUACCCAGACACAUCCAUCAAGCCGGACGGCGACGGCAAGCUGUGCUCCCUCUACGGCGGUCGCCCGGUUGGGCCUAAGGAGAAGGUCUUCUUCGACGUUCACUCGAGUACCCAGUUCAGCUUCCAAGUCGUCUCCUCCACCAUUGUAUGUUAGAUAUACUGCGAAUGAUGAUAUCAAGUCAUAUCAAAACUAUGUUUCCAUAGCGACAGAAACGAUAUUUCUGAAUAAAGCUCUUUGUUUCCGACAUAGACAGUAGACGACUCGCAUUGACGAAUUUGAACAGUCACACAAAACGCUUCCCAAAUACUUAAUUCGUCCUCUCCCGGUGCAGGAUCGCAAAGACGAACGGUUCCGGAGACUUGGUCUCUCGCACGCUGAUGCACGCCGGCGUUCGAGAUGAGGUAGACUACGAUCGCGGCGCAAGUUAUGAGACGAGGCAAAACCCUACAUGUUUUCGAUGUGCCUUUGGCCGACCACAGUAAGCAGUAUAUAUAUAUAGGAGGACCAAGGUCGGUUCCGUGUCGCGAUCACGUCUCAAACCGACUUGAUUUCCAAGUCUAUACUUACCGGACAAGAAAUUCUCAACUUGUCUGCCAAGACACAAAAAAUAAAAUGGCAAAAGGAAGCCCCCCCCCCCCCANNNNNNNNNNNNNNNNNNNNNNNNNNNNNNNNNNNNNNNNNNNNNNNNNNNNNNNNNNNNNNNNNNNNNNNNNNNNNNNNNNNNNNNNNNNNNNNNNNNNNNNNNNNNNNNNNNNNCGCAUGUCGCACGUACGCGUCGUCCGUCCAGGCGAGGCGAGCGAGCGCGCGCGUGUGGUCAUCUCCUUUCUCUUCUUAACACACACUUAAAAUGGUGGGGAGAACUCACUAUAUAAAGAGGUCCAACUCUUCCUUAACUAGCAGUAUGAGACUAAACUUUAGCACCACCACACCACCACUUGACAUUUUACUCAUGGGCUCAAUUUGAGAUUUAAGAAUUUGUAGAUGGGCCAAGCCCAUUAAUUUAAAUAAUUUCGCACCAGAUCUCAAAUACCUAUUUAGAGAUUUGCCUUUUCUCUCUACUUGUUUAAUAUACCAGUGUUUCAGCAGAGACUGUUAAGUUAAACUUCUGCCUAGAAUUUAAGCUACAUCCAUUCACAACUUGACAAUGGACUAUGCCUUGAAUUGUUAUUUUUGUGUGAACAAGUUUCACUCAAAGUCUUAAUCAGUACCUGACUGCUAGUAGGCUACCCCGCGGUUUGGAGCAUAUACGUCGUACUCCCUAGUCUCUUCGUGAGCUUACUAGAGAUUACCCAAAUCCCCUAGAUUGCGACGUUUUACAACCGGAGCUCAUAUAGGUGUGAUAUUUCAAGAUUGCUUUGUAGGACAAAAUCUUUGCUACAAUAUCCAACAUAAUCACAUUAAGACAUGUUGCCAACUUGCCUUACAACACUUAAGCCUUACAGCUAUGAGAGUUUUGCAUUUUCACUUACAGACGGUCACUUAUUACUCUCCCCUGUUAAUCAAUCGCUUGGUCUUCCCAGGUCCUAAUUCACGGGAUCUCCAAUCACUAAGGUUCGAUUACUACUAUGGUGUAACGUCUAUGGAUCUCAUACCCAUCUCCCUCGAUGCAAUAUCUAUCACAUUUCGUGAUAGUCCUUUUGUAAAAGGAUCUGCGAGGUUUUUGUCUGUUUGAAUAUACGUAACAGUUAUUACUCCGGAGUUUUUCAACUUCCUGCAAUAUUUCAGGCGUCUGUUCACAUGUCUUGAUGACUUUACGGGCGGCGGUGAGGCGGGUCCGACAGUCUUAGAGGCCUCAAGAUCGGAGAGGCGCUCGUGGAGGCAGGCGACCACGAUGAGGCGGGUUGUUGGGGUGGACCUAUAAGGAGAAGGAGGAAGGGGACGAGUGACUAGAGCAUCUCCAACAACAUCACAAAAAUUUCACGCAUGAUAAAAGUUAUAGCAAAUCACUAUAGCAUUUUUUAUCACAGGAAUCAACAUGGCCUUAGCAUACGCCCAAAAACCCGUGCCCAAAAAAGCAAGCAGAGCAAAUUGUGAAGCGUACGCGAUCCGGCGUCCCAAAUAUGGUGCGCGCGAUAGCGUUUUUCAGUGUGCGCCUAAAUUUUUUUAGCACGCGCAUAGUUUUGCAGCCUCUGUUGGAGUUGUCUAGCGCAAAAAAAACAAAUCUUUUAAGGCAUGGAGCACUUUUUGGGUGCCUGUUGGGCAGACUUUCAAUUACAAGACGACUACAACUUGUUGCGAACAACAAGCGUAGCAAAAAAAUCCACACCAGGGCUAGUCCGAAGACAUCCUCCACCAACAACACAACUACACAACUACAAGAGCCUGACCACAUGUAAGCAACAUCGCCGCGUCACGACCAGUGCCUCUCAUCUCCAAAGACAACCAACUCCAACUAUACUUUCCUCGUCAACACACCAUCCACCCUUGAUGCCAAAAAGGAGGUGGCAAGUAGAUGAGGAACCUGGUCGGCACACUAAAGCCACCGUCUUGGACUCACCGGCUGUGACGUACAAUGCGCCUCUAAAGCUCACCUUGGACAGUAGGGAACACCAUAUGUAGCGUAAUGAGGAACCUCAAGACCCGACCUUCAAGCGCGAUGCUCCCAACAGAGUAGGAACGAUGAGGACGCCGCCAUCUCACCGGUUCAACUCCGAGAUACCUGUAGUGCACCUUUAUAAUCACCAGACACACGGAGUGACAAAUCCCAGUCUUGAUUCGUACCAACCCAACAGACACUUUCGGAGAUACCUGUAGUGCACCUUUAUAAUCACCCAGUUACGUUGUGACGUUUGAUACACCCAAAGCACUCCUACGGUAUCCGAGAGUUGCACAAUCUCAUGGUCUAAGGAAACGAUACUUGACAUUAGAAAAGCUUUAGCAGAAGAAUAACACGAUCUAGUGCUAUGCUUAGGAUUGGAUCUUGUCCGUCACAUCAUUUUCUGAUGAUGUGAUCCCGUUAUCAAUGACAUCCAAUGUCCAUGAUCAGGAAGCCACGAUCAUCUAUUGAUCAACGAGCUAGCCAACUAGAGGCUCACUAGGGACACAUUGUGAUCGAUAUAUUCACACAUGUAUUACGGUUUUCAGUUAAUACAAUUAUAGCAUGAAUAAUAGACAAUUAUCAUGAACUAGGAAAUAUAAUAAUAACCACUUUAUUAUUGCCUCUAGGGCAUAUUUCCAAGAGUAAGGAGGAGGACCCACUCUCCUUCGUGUGCCUCCGGCUCGACCUCUCCCUCAAGAAGCCUCCAUGAUUCAACAGCUAUCAACCCGUUGGUGACAAGGUUCAUGAUGUCCGCCUUCUUGACGGUUGACGGGAGGAAAUCCCCCUGGAUCCAUCCCAGCAGCGCCGCAGAUCGGGCGCCUGACGGCUUCUUUGCUUUGGCACCUUUCUUGGCGCGCUCGAGCUUGUCUGUCUUGCCCUUCGUCAUCUUGAAGGCGGUGGUGAAGGAAAAUCUAAGCGACACUCGUGAAGCAGGGGUGAAGAAGAAACAAAGGGGAAUUGAGGAGGCGCACUUUUCCAAUCCUAGCACCGUCCCAAUUUAUAAUCGCCCGAGUGAGUCGCUGACCUAUGGGCCCGUCAGAUCUCUGUCUAUCCCAGUAACAGAGGAAGCGUGAUACAUGGCGAAUAAGUUGGCGCGAUAAUCGAGGCAUCGCUCUCCCACUUGCCCUGGUCGUUGCGUCAUCACCUCACGGCGUGCGCUUACCAAAAUUUUAAAUCCCGUGAAAUCCUGACCUGUCGAAGUGACCCGUCGCAUCAAAGGACCCUGUUGAUCACUCAGACCAGUUUUCAUGCUCAACUUCACUCGGACACAUUUCAAGACAGAAUCAAUCAGGGUGAACGACAAAGGCUUCAAUCGAUGCAAACUUCUGCUAAGCCCUGAAGCACAUUCGGAGUUUGUGUGUCUUGUCAGAAUCUGCAUCGACCCCUUUCUCUCUCGAACCCCGAUCCAUUCGGGGGCUAAUGAUGGGGAUAUGUACCUAGGGUAGAGUCAUAGGCCUAACCUACAUGUCCUACCUAAGGGCACCACAUUGAAGGACUUAAAUAUUACUAGGAAGGCUCCGACUGACUCGCCAUGGUGAAUGGGUCACUCGGUAGAACAUCCACUUGGAGGUUUUCUCCUUUCACUCGACGGACACCUUUCACUCGGAGGAACCAGAAAAUAGUCGAUGCAGAAGACCAGAAGCCACUCCAGGGAGGCCAACCAGCACGCAUUCGACUGGUCGUCAUAACUAGCAUUUAUUAUGCACAUUAUCAGUAACACUCACCAUUAUUUUCCACUAUCGAACCCUUGGUUGUCGUAUCCUUGAUGAGGGGUAGCGCACUCUAUAUAAUCCACCCCUCCCCUCUGGCACAAGGGUUAGCAUCCCCUGUAACACACAUAUUCUACACGACAAGAGCUCCAAAGAACUGAGACGUAGGUCUAUUACCUCCACGAGAUGAGUCUGAACACAUACGUCGUGUGUAAGAACUCGCCAUAGCUAGGACUGUGCCCUCUCCUUACCUACCCCUGACCUCUAUUGUCAGGGUCGUUCCCACGACAGGUACUGCAUCAAGCACACGGUUCAUAUAUAUCAUGAACUCCCUGAGAUGAGUACAAGGUGUUGUAGAAAUUCAUUACAUGCGCUUCUAUCUCGGCUACAACCUCGGUCACCAUCCCAUCUGGCAGAGCUAGCGACUUGAUUGAUUCUUUUUCCUCCUUCUACUUGCCCUUAAGUGGAAGAAGUAUGUGUUCUUAUCAACAUGUGUUAACCACUCAAUCCGAGCCCUUUGAUGCCACAUAAUCUCCUCUGUUGAACAAUUCAACCUGCCUGUCACAUGUUUUAAUUUCUGCCCGAGAAGGCUCGGUUCUCCCUAGGAUCGACCGCAACAGAGCCAACUGGUUCUGUAGACUUCAAAUCUCUAGCCUGAUAUUGCCAAACACAUUGCGAUCCCAAUCAUCAAGAUCUUCAGAAAGCGGCCCAAGUUUUUAUUUAAUCCCUUGAACACUUCCUCCCUAGCACUGUCCCCAGCUUUGCACCAUCGGAGUUGUCGGGGAUAUACCCCACGGUGUAACCCCACUUGAAGUAUGACCCGUCAAGGACUUGGCGUCCCACUGGCGACUCAGCAGUGACCUGGCGGGCGGCUCAUAGAUUACCUCGCAAGCGACUCAUAGAUUACCUCGCAAGCGACUCAGAUAUACCCCAUGGUGUAACCCGGCUUGAAGUAUGACCCAGGGCCCGACGUACACUCUGGCAUAAGGCGACUCAUAGAGAGGUCAGGAGGGCCAACUGAUACGUCCAUUUUGCAUCAUGCUUUCAUGUUGAUAUUUAUUUCUUUAUGGGCUGUUAUAUUACUUUGUGGAACCAUAUUUAUGCCUUUUCUCUCUUAUUUUGCAAGGUUUAUUUGAAGAGGGAGAAUUCAGGCAGCUGGAAUUCUGGACUAGAAAAGGAGCAAAUCUUAGUCCACUAUUCUGCACAUCUCCAAAUGCCUUGAAAACUUACGUGGAUUUUUUGGGAUUAUAUAAAAAAUACUGGGGGAAAGAAGUACUGGAGGGGGGCUGCCAGGGCACCACAAGCCCUGCCACCGCCACCACCCCCCUGGUGGCGGAGUGGGGGCUUGUGGGCUCCCUGACGGCCCACUAGCCCCACUCUUUUGCUAUAUGAAGGGUUUUGGACCAGAAAAAAAAUCAUUCGAGAGCUUUUUUGUGGUUUCACCGCCGCCACAAGGUGGAACUUGAGCAGAUCCAAUCUAGAGCUCCGGCAGGACGAUCCUGCCGGGAAAACUUCCCUCCCGGAGAGGGAAAUCGUCGCCAUCGUCAUCACCAACACUCCUCUCGUCGGAGGGGAGGCAUCUUCAACAACAUCUUCAUCAGCACCAUCUCCUCUCCAAUCCCUAGUUCAUCUCUUGUAACCAAUCUUCGUCUCACAACUCCGAUUGGUACUUGUAAGGUUGCUAGUAGUGUUGAUUACUCUUUGUAGUUGAUGCUAGUUGGAUUACUUGGUGGAAGAGUUUAUGUUCAGAUCCUUGAUGCUAUUCAUUACACCUCUGAUCAUGAUUAUGAUUAUGCUUUGUGAGUAGUUACUUUUGUUCCUGAGGACAUGGGAUAAGUCAUGCUGNNNNNNNNNNNNNNNNNNNNNNNNNNNNNNNNNNNNNNNNNNNNNNNNNNNNNNNNNNNNNNNNNNNNNNNNNNNNNNNNNNNNNNNNNNNNNNNNNNNNUACUAUAUUUGUUGAUAUGAUCUUAAUAGUACCAUUUGUUCCUUAUAUCAAUCAAAUCUGCACUUGAAUCGUGAAUUGAAUGCUUGCCUAAAACAAAGAAUAGAAAUCCCGAUGGCACAUUAACUUCCUCUGGCCUGUUCGCCUAUAAAUAGCCCGCCAUUUGCCAUUAGCGAGGUAAAUCAAAAGAAGCUGAACACAUCCAGGCAAACUACUAGACACUAGCAUGGAGAUCAAGCCAGCACUCCUCCUUGUUGCCUGCUUGUUAUUGGGCAUCAGCAACAGAGGUAUGGUGUUCGACAUACCAAAAAAGGUCACCAAGAACUAGCAAGCAAUUGUGUCCCAUUUAGAGUCAGAUUGUCUCCAGGUCCCUAUAGGCACAAAUAACCACUUUAAUUUCUUUUUCAUCGUGUUUUUAAUCAGGCACUGCAGCAACAUGCAGAACUUCAGAUAUUGUUNNNNNNNNNNUAGGUCACCAAGAACUAGCAAGCAAUUGUGGCCCAUUUAGAAUCAGAUUGUCUCCAGGUCCCUAUAGGCACAAAGAACCAUUUUAAUUUCUUUUUCAUCAUGUUUUUAAUCAGGCACUGCAGCAACAUGCAGAACUUCAGAUAUUGUUGUCCAGACAGAGAGUUGGCCCGAUCCGGCAGGAACGCCAGUGUACUAUGUGAAUCUGGUGAAUAACUGCGGCUGCACGCAGAAGAACGUGAAACUGGCAUGUCCAGGGUUUAACUCUUCCGUCGAGGUCUACCCGGCCGCCGCCAUCAAGCCGGACGGCNNNNNNNNNNCUGGCCCGAUCCGGCAGGAACGCCAGUGUACUAUGUGAACCUGGUGAACAACUGCGGCUGCACGCAGAAGAACGUGAAACUGGCGUGUCCAGGGUUCAACUCUUCCGUCGAGGUCUACCCGGCCGCCGCCAUCAAGCCGGACGGCGACGGCAAGCUCUGCUCCCUCUACAGCGGCGCACCGGUUAGGCCUAAAN
RNAcentral lists this long non-coding RNA (7323 nucleotides) under Hordeum vulgare. RNAcentral describes it as "long non-coding RNA (HVUL_LNC017759)". The record is from RNAcentral. Lineage: Eukaryota; Viridiplantae; Streptophyta; Magnoliopsida; Poales; Poaceae.